UACGAAGGGUGCAAACGUUGCUCGGAAUUAUUGGGCGUAAAGCGCACGUAGGCGGCUUGGCAAGUCGGAUGUGAAAUCCCUCGGCUCAACCAAGGAAGUGCAUCCGAAACUGCUGAGCUUGAGUACUUAAGGAGGAUCGCGGAAUUCCCGGUGUAGAGGUGAAAUUCGUAGAUAGUCGGGAGGAACACCAGUGGCGAAGGCGGCCGGGCUGGGGGUGACCU
RNAcentral lists this ribosomal RNA (221 nucleotides) under uncultured bacterium. Its description in RNAcentral is "partial 16S ribosomal RNA". It matches the Rfam family "Bacterial small subunit ribosomal RNA", at positions 524 to 741 of the family's 1533-position model. The record is from RNAcentral.